RNAcentral lists this transfer RNA (64 nucleotides) under Alcanivorax borkumensis. It matches the Rfam family "tRNA", at positions 6 to 65 of the family's 71-position model. Rfam says of the family: Transfer RNA (tRNA) molecules are approximately 80 nucleotides in length. Their secondary structure includes four short double-helical elements and three loops (D, anti-codon, and T loops). Further hydrogen bonds mediate the characteristic L-shaped molecular structure. tRNAs have two regions of fundamental functional importance: the anti-codon, which is responsible for specific mRNA codon recognition, and the 3' end, to which the tRNAs corresponding amino acid is attached (by aminoacyl-tRNA synthetases). tRNAs cope with the degeneracy of the genetic code in two manners: having more than one tRNA (with a specific anti-codon) for a particular amino acid; and 'wobble' base-pairing, i.e. permitting non-standard base-pairing at the 3rd anti-codon position. The record is from RNAcentral. Lineage: Bacteria; Pseudomonadati; Pseudomonadota; Gammaproteobacteria; Oceanospirillales; Alcanivoracaceae. RNAcentral also lists the same sequence under 25 other names.
AGUAGUUCAAUUGGUAGAGCACCGGUCUCCAAAACCGGCUGUUGGGGGUUCGAGUCCCUCCUGG